This 435-nucleotide ribosomal RNA is filed under the name uncultured bacterium. Its description in RNAcentral is "partial 16S ribosomal RNA". It matches the Rfam family "Bacterial small subunit ribosomal RNA", at positions 28 to 507 of the family's 1533-position model. The record is from RNAcentral.
GAUGAACGCUGGCGGUAUGCUUAACACAUGCAAGUCGAACGGACUCUUCGGAGUUAGUGGCGGACGGGUGAGUAACGCGUGAGAAUCUGGCUUUGGGUUCGGGACAACCACUGGAAACGGUGGCUAAUACCGGAUGUGCCGAGAGGUAAAAGAGAAAUUGCCUGAAGAUGAGCUCGCGUCUGAUUAGCUAGUUGGUGAGGUAAAGGCUCACCAAGGCAGCGAUCAGUAGCUGGUCUGAGGGGAUGACCAGCCACACUGGGACAGAGACACGGCCGAGACUCCUACGGGAGGCAGGAGUGGAGAAUUUUCCGCAAUGGGCGAAAGCCUGACGGAGCAAUACCGCGUGAGGGAAGAAGGCUCUUGGGGUGUAAACCUCUUUUCUUAGGGAAGAACAAAAUGACGGUACCUAAGGAAUCAGCAUCGGCUAACUCCGUG